GAUGAAGAACGUAGCGAACGUGCGAAACGUAAUGUGAAUUGCAGAAUUCAGUGAAUCAUCGAAUCUUUGAACGCAUCUUGCGCUCCUUGGUAUUCCGAGGAGCAUGCCUGUUUGAGUGUCGUGAAUACUCUCAACUUCAACCCUUUUUUCGGAAAGGGAGGAAGGUUGGACUUGGGUGUUUGUUGAAGUGCGAGCUUCGACUCAUCCUAAAUGCAUUAGCGAUCUGCCUCGAUCACACACAAUGUGAUAAUUAAAACUAAAGCAUUGUUUAAUGAUCAAGUCGAGACUGCUUCUAACUGUCGCAAGACAAUAACGUGCAGACAUUUGUGCAUGUCAUUUGACCUCAAAUCAGGUAGGACUACCCGCUGAACUUAAGCAUAUCAAUAAGCGGAGGA
RNAcentral lists this unclassified non-coding RNA (395 nucleotides) under soil metagenome. RNAcentral describes it as "partial contains 5.8S ribosomal RNA, internal transcribed spacer 2, and large subunit ribosomal RNA". The stretch from base 1 to 121 matches the Rfam family "5.8S ribosomal RNA", at positions 35 to 154 of the family's 154-position model. The record is from RNAcentral.